Molecule: long non-coding RNA, 268 nt
Organism: Rosa chinensis
Lineage: Eukaryota; Viridiplantae; Streptophyta; Magnoliopsida; Rosales; Rosaceae
Exons: 3
Source: RefSeq, a predicted model, not a curated record
GUCAAUCUCGAUCUUGCUUCGUCUUUAUGAACCAAUAAAUGGUCAGAUUAAUAUUGAUGGUAUCCCUAUCAGAGAGUUGGAUAUCAGGUGGCUGAGAGGGAAAGUUGGAUUUGUGUUGCAGACAGGAACCAAAUCUAUUUCACAUGACCAUCAAGUCAAACAUUAAAUAUGGUUGCUCCGAUGAUAUUAAGGAGGAAGAUAUAAAAUCGGCUGCAAAGCUAGCUUAUGCUCAUAACUUCAUCUCAUCUCUUCCUGACGGAUAUGAUAC